Long non-coding RNA from Mizuhopecten yessoensis (Yesso scallop), 192 nucleotides. RefSeq lists it as uncharacterized. NCBI's taxonomy places the organism in Eukaryota, Metazoa, Mollusca, Bivalvia, Pectinida, Pectinidae. The record is from RefSeq and is a predicted model, not a curated record. The transcript has 3 exons.
GCCGUACUAGCGAAUGCAAAGCUGGACCACGUAUACAAUUUAGUGAGUAACUUGAUCAAAUCUCGGCUAUUUCCACUGAAUGUACAUCUUUCAUCCAAAGAGGUUGGUGGCGACUGCACUAUGAACGUGUCACGGUUGGCCUCUGACCUGAGGACAGCAGUCACUGCUGUGUGUCUCCUUGACAACGUAACG